This 20-nucleotide unclassified non-coding RNA is filed under the name Dictyostelium discoideum. The record is from RNAcentral. Lineage: Eukaryota; Evosea; Eumycetozoa; Dictyosteliales; Dictyosteliaceae.
UUCUCGACGAUUUGACGACA